CAGCAGCCGCGGGAAUACGAAGGGGGCUAGCGUUGUUCGGAUUUACUGGGCGUAAAGCGCACGUAGGCGGACUUUUAAGUCAGGGGUGAAAUCCCGGGGCUCAACCCCGGAACUGCCUUUGAUACUGGGAGUCUUGUGUUCGAGAGAGGUGAGUGGAAUUGCGAGUGUAGAGGUGAAAUUCGUAGAUAUUCGCAGGAACACCAGUGGCGAAGGCGGCUCACUGGCUCGAUACUGACGCUGAGGUGCGAAAGCGUGGGGAGCAAACAGGAUUAGAUACCCGUGUAGUCCCUGUCUCUUAUAC
Molecule: ribosomal RNA, 301 nt
Filed under: uncultured bacterium
Lineage: Bacteria
Description: partial 16S ribosomal RNA
Rfam family: Bacterial small subunit ribosomal RNA
Source: RNAcentral